ACAUGUCUUUUUGAGUAGAAUAUAAAGUCUGACCUGCCCACUGAGUUUUAAAGGGCCGCGGUAUCUUGACCGUGCAAAGGUAGCAUAAUCAUUAGUCUUUUAAUUGAAGGCUGGUAUGAAUGGUUUGACGUGGUACUAGCUGUCUCAAUGGUAAAGAAUAGAAUUUAACUUUUAAGUAAAAAGGCUUAAAUGAUAAUAGAGGACGAGAAGACCCUAUAGAGCUUUAUAAAUGGGGAUAGUAGAAUUUAUUGUAGUUGAUUAUAAAUUUAUUAUAAAUAUUUAUUAUAUUGGGGUGAUAUGAAGACAGGUGUAACUCUUCAUUUGUGAAAACAUUGAUAUAUGAUUAGAUGAUCCAUUAUUAGUGAUUAUAAGAAUAAGUUACCUUAGGGAUAACAGCGUAAUUUUUUUUGAGAGUUCAUAUCGACAAAAGGGAUUGCGACCUCGAUGUUGGAUUAAGAAUAUGAUUAGGUGUAGAAGUUUAAUGGUAUAG
Molecule: ribosomal RNA, 490 nt
Filed under: Acanthoplus sp. MCJ-2002
Lineage: Eukaryota; Metazoa; Arthropoda; Insecta; Orthoptera; Tettigoniidae
Description: partial 16S ribosomal RNA
Rfam family: Bacterial large subunit ribosomal RNA
Source: RNAcentral